This 201-nucleotide long non-coding RNA is filed under the name Homo sapiens (human). RNAcentral's name for it is "long non-coding RNA NONHSAT171702". Lineage: Eukaryota; Metazoa; Chordata; Mammalia; Primates; Hominidae. The record is from RNAcentral.
GUUUGUUUUUGAGUCGGAAUCUCGCUCUGUCACCCAGGCUGGAGUGCAAUGGCGUGAUCUCAGCUCACUGCAACCUCCACCUACCAAGUUCAAGCAGUUCUUCUGUCUCAGCCUCCCAAGUAGCUGGCACUACAGGCGCACGCCACCAUGUCCGGCUAAUUUUUGUAUUUUCAGUAGAGACGGGGUGUCACUAUAUUGUUA